This 1164-nucleotide long non-coding RNA is filed under the name Salmo salar (Atlantic salmon). Its description in RNAcentral is "lncRNA (ENSSSAG00000092549.1)". Lineage: Eukaryota; Metazoa; Chordata; Actinopteri; Salmoniformes; Salmonidae. The record is from RNAcentral.
CCAAGCCAUGAUGUUGUAGGAAUUGUCUGUAGAGCUCAGAGACAGGAUUGUGUCCAGGCACAGAUCUGAAGAAGGAUACCAAAACAUUUCUGCAGCAUUGAAGGUCCCAAAGAACACAGUGGCCUCCAUCAUUCUUAAAUGGAUGAAGUUUGGAGAGUAGGACUUUUAUUCUCUUAAAGAAGUUCGAUGGAAUUUAAACUGUGGGCAUUUCUCCUUUGCCAAGAUAAUCCAUCCACCUGGCAGGUGUGGCAUAUCAAGAAGCAUGAUCCUUACACAGGUGCACCUUCUGCUGGGGACAAUAAAAGACCACUCAAAUGUGCAAUUUUGUCAUACAACACAAUGACCUGCAUACUCCCCAGACAUGUCACCCAUUGAACAUUUUUGGGAUGUUCUGGAUCGACGUGUACGACAGCGUGUUCCCGACAAUAUCAUGCAACUUCGCACAGGCAUUGGAGAGGAGUGGGACAACAUUCCACGGGGAACAAUCAACAGCUAUAACUCUAUGCGAAGGAGAUUUUUGCGCUGCAUGAGGCAAAUGGUGGUCACACCAGAAAUUGACUGGUUUUCUGAUCCACGCCCCUACCUUUUUUUUAAGGUAUCUGUAAUAAAGUAGUGUGCAAUCCAUAGAUUAGGGCCACAUUUAAAUGUCCUUAUGAACUGUAACAACGUAAAAUCUUUUGAAUUGUUGCAUGUUGUGUUUUAGAUUUUUGUUCAGUGUAGUAAAUGAGAGUAGUUGAUUUUAUAGGCCUCUUCCAAAUUGCUAGGUAUUAAUACACCCAGGUAUUUUGUCUGUCAAUUUCCACUGAAAUCUACUAUAUAAGAUUGAAGAGUAAUAACUGAAAUAAUAGCAUUUUACAUUUUAGUCAUUUAGCAGACGCUCUUAUCCAGAGCGACUUACAGUAGUGAGUGCAUACAUUUCAUUUCAUGCAUUUUUUUUUUUGUACUGCCAUUUCUAAUUGUCUCCCAAGUCACUUUGAAUCCUGAUACAGCACCAUAAACUGUAUGUCCAGUUGCAAAAUAAAUGACAGAAUGUUCAGAUAAAUACAGUAAAAUGUAAUCUGGAUACAAUAUCGCAUGUUCUACACCAAUCUCUAUUCCCCGGUUUGAGCCAUGAGUUAUUAUUUAUUGAGGCUAGGGGUUCCGUGGCUAAAGCAAAUAAAUAAC